RNAcentral lists this long non-coding RNA (209 nucleotides) under Elaeis guineensis (African oil palm). Its description in RNAcentral is "long non-coding RNA (EGUI_LNC013671)". Lineage: Eukaryota; Viridiplantae; Streptophyta; Magnoliopsida; Arecales; Arecaceae. The record is from RNAcentral.
UCUAAAAGAAUUCUAACGCUAUUAUUGAUAAAAAUAUGUUAUAUUAACUAUAUUUUCUUUUAAUUUCCGUGAUUAUAUCCAAUUUCAUCUGUAAAAGUUGAAUUGUCCCAGUCUCGAGCCAGGUGGUGGUGGGACUCGAGCUGGUUCCAGGGCCAUGUGAACUUUAGCAUCGGACCAGACCUUAUCUGUUCACGGAUGGGUCCCCCGGC